CACAGCCCAGGUCUGGUAUCACUGAAUGUAAUCUAGAUUGAGGAACAGAGGCUGGAUUACACUAGAUGACAUUUUGAAGCCGCCUGAGAUGUCAUCUAUGGAGAUAUUCUCAAUCAAUUACAUGUGGAAUCGAAGGACACAAAAUAUAGGUGCUUACUGCUACCAUCUUCAAGGCUAUGAGUCGCUUAUGACACAUCCCAGAAGACAGUCAAGUUCAUAAUUAUACUGGACAUGACUCACACACAGACAUGUUAAUAAAACCAACAAAGUUUCUGGAGAGAAGUUAAAUCUAAAGAAGUGUUCGACCACGCGUUACAAAUAGUUAUCCACUUUUCUUUCACAAUUAAUUUUAUAAACCUUCAUAAUGAACUUCUAACAAAACUGCAUGAGUAAGGAAAUAAGUGACUUUUAUUCAUACCUUUCAUUAACUUGACUCAAGGACCUUGAAAGACAGGAACUUCAUUACACCGAGUGUUUGUUCGAGGAAACAGCAACAAAGAAGAUUGGUGGUGUGUACUUGUAAGCUGACUGGAUCAUGCGUGCGUGUUUGUGUUUCUUCUUGGAUGUUGCGUGUUUGAAAAGGUUGAACGGAGUGAGGCAAAACUCCCAGCAUGAUCAGAGAGCUACCGUAGAAAAUUCAAUUACACCGAGGUUUUGGUGGCGCAAAUAGUGGGGGAAAUACAUUAAAAUACUUUUGGUGACACAUAUAGUAACCUGUACUCGUUAUCUUGUAAAAUCAUUUGUAAGUUAUUUAACGAAACUAUCAAAUUUUCACUGAGAAUUGGAAGAUGUGACGUUGACUGAUGUGGAUUAGAACAGAUACCGGAUGGUUUUGGGAGAUAUACAAAUCAUUUCAGCUUUUAAAACGAAAAUUUGUCAAUCUUCAUUCGCAGUCACUCGAACGAAAUAAAGCAGACAAAUAUCACUCUCGACUUAUAAAUCCAGAGAUAUAUAAAACCAGAUCAGUGAACACUGCUGUGUUCCUAAAAUAAGACUACUCCAUGUACGGGGGGGGGGGCUUUUAUAAUGAGGUCUAUGUAAAAAUCUAACUUUCUUCUAAAAUUAACAAAAAUCCGACUAAAAAGACACGACCUUAUAACUAUAAAAGAACUUCUUAAAAUAGAAAUCUUCUUGAGAAACUGAUAAUUACUGAGGUAUUAAAAAUAUAUUAAAAUUGGCCGUCAAUCACAAUAUAAGAUAAUUAAAAGAUUAAAAUAUCAUUUUUCGUUCC
This is a long non-coding RNA of Zootermopsis nevadensis, 1231 nucleotides long. RefSeq lists it as uncharacterized. The record is from RefSeq and is a predicted model, not a curated record. Lineage: Eukaryota; Metazoa; Arthropoda; Insecta; Blattodea; Termopsidae.